Molecule: ribosomal RNA, 1700 nt
Filed under: Escherichia coli
Lineage: Bacteria; Pseudomonadati; Pseudomonadota; Gammaproteobacteria; Enterobacterales; Enterobacteriaceae
Description: partial 23S ribosomal RNA
Rfam family: Bacterial large subunit ribosomal RNA
Source: RNAcentral
GGUUAAGCGACUAAGCGUACACGGUGGAUGCCCUGGCAGUCAGAGGCGAUGAAGGACGUGCUAAUCUGCGAUAAGCGUCGGUAAGGUGAUAUGAACCGUUAUAACCGGCGAUUUCCGAAUGGGGAAACCCAGUGUGUUUCGACACACUAUCAUUAACUGAAUCCAUAGGUUAAUGAGGCGAACCGGGGGAACUGAAACAUCUAAGUACCCCGAGGAAAAGAAAUCAACCGAGAUUCCCCCAGUAGCGGCGAGCGAACGGGGAGCAGCCCAGAGCCUGAAUCAGUGUGUGUGUUAGUGGAAGCGUCUGGAAAGGCGCGCGAUACAGGGUGACAGCCCCGUACACAAAAAUGCACAUGCUGUGAGCUCGAUGAGUAGGGCGGGACACGUGGUAUCCUGUCUGAAUAUGGGGGGACCAUCCUCCAAGGCUAAAUACUCCUGACUGACCGAUAGUGAACCAGUACCGUGAGGGAAAGGCGAAAAGAACCCCGGCGAGGGGAGUGAAAAAGAACCUGAAACCGUGUACGUACAAGCAGUGGGAGCACGCUUAGGCGUGUGACUGCGUACCUUUUGUAUAAUGGGUCAGCGACUUAUAUUCUGUAGCAAGGUUAACCGAAUAGGGGAGCCGAAGGGAAACCGAGUCUUAACUGGGCGUUAAGUUGCAGGGUAUAGACCCGAAACCCGGUGAUCUAGCCAUGGGCAGGUUGAAGGUUGGGUAACACUAACUGGAGGACCGAACCGACUAAUGUUGAAAAAUUAGCGGAUGACUUGUGGCUGGGGGUGAAAGGCCAAUCAAACCGGGAGAUAGCUGGUUCUCCCCGAAAGCUAUUUAGGUAGCGCCUCGUGAAUUCAUCUCCGGGGGUAGAGCACUGUUUCGGCAAGGGGGUCAUCCCGACUUACCAACCCGAUGCAAACUGCGAAUACCGGAGAAUGUUAUCACGGGAGACACACGGCGGGUGCUAACGUCCGUCGUGAAGAGGGAAACAACCCAGACCGCCAGCUAAGGUCCCAAAGUCAUGGUUAAGUGGGAAACGAUGUGGGAAGGCCCAGACAGCCAGGAUGUUGGCUUAGAAGCAGCCAUCAUUUAAAGAAAGCGUAAUAGCUCACUGGUCGAGUCGGCCUGCGCGGAAGAUGUAACGGGGCUAAACCAUGCACCGAAGCUGCGGCAGCGACACUAUGUGUUGUUGGGUAGGGGAGCGUUCUGUAAGCCUGUGAAGGUGUGCUGUGAGGCAUGCUGGAGGUAUCAGAAGUGCGAAUGCUGACAUAAGUAACGAUAAAGCGGGUGAAAAGCCCGCUCGCCGGAAGACCAAGGGUUCCUGUCCAACGUUAAUCGGGGCAGGGUGAGUCGACCCCUAAGGCGAGGCCGAAAGGCGUAGUCGAUGGGAAACAGGUUAAUAUUCCUGUACUUGGUGUUACUGCGAAGGGGGGACGGAGAAGGCUAUGUUGGCCGGGCGACGGUUGUCCCGGUUUAAGCGUGUAGGCUGGUUUUCCAGGCAAAUCCGGAAAAUCAAGGCUGAGGCGUGAUGACGAGGCACUACGGUGCUGAAGCAACAAAUGCCCUGCUUCCAGGAAAAGCCUCUAAGCAUCAGGUAACAUCAAAUCGUACCCCAAACCGACACAGGUGGUCAGGUAGAGAAUACCAAGGCGCUUGAGAGAACUCGGGUGAAGGAACUAGGCAAAAUGGUGCCGUAACUUCGGGAGAA